GUAGGUGGGUUUGUAAGUCAGAUGUGAAAGCCUUCUGUUCAAAGGAAGAACGGCAUCUGAAACUGCAGAUCUUGAGUGUAGGAGGGGAGAGUGGAACUUCUGGUGGAGCGGUGAAAUGCGUAGAUAUCAGAAGGAACGUCGGCGGCGAAAGCGACUCUCUGGCCUAUUACUGACACUGAGUGUGCGAAAGUUAGGGGGGCAAACGGGAUUAGAUACCCCGGUAGUCCUAACUGUAAACGAU
Molecule: ribosomal RNA, 241 nt
Filed under: uncultured Planctomycetota bacterium
Lineage: Bacteria; Pseudomonadati; Planctomycetota
Description: uncultured planctomycete partial 16S ribosomal RNA
Rfam family: Bacterial small subunit ribosomal RNA
Source: RNAcentral